Molecule: long non-coding RNA, 399 nt
Organism: Branchiostoma belcheri (Belcher's lancelet)
Lineage: Eukaryota; Metazoa; Chordata; Leptocardii; Amphioxiformes; Branchiostomatidae
Exons: 2
Source: RefSeq, a predicted model, not a curated record
CAUCUGCAGAGUGAGGCGUCAGUGCAGGGCGGCCAUUGUGAGGUCAAGCCAGAGGGGAUUGUGACCAGACGGGCGUGUUCGCCUGGCACAUCGGUCUGGUGAUCUCUCAAGUCUUCAUCAGGAUAAAGCAUCUCAGCAUCCAUACAAGAAACACUGGGAAAACACAAUCUGUCCUUGAUGAUAACAAAAGGGACAAAAUGGCAAACACUGACUGGAAAUGGCAGAACAUCCAGCUUACUUAGGGUGUGUUACUGUUAGUCAGUUAGUCUUUAGAAGCUGUCAAGCCUCUUGGAAACCCAGACCUCGGGGACUGAGCCUGUGGCUCGGUGGGGGCUUGCUCAGCUUAGUUAGAUGGGUUUGCUGGAUGUUAAUGCUUAAAUCAAUUUUCAGGUUUACUCU